This is a long non-coding RNA of Macadamia integrifolia, 1015 nucleotides long. RefSeq lists it as uncharacterized. The record is from RefSeq and is a predicted model, not a curated record. The transcript is spliced from 2 exons. Lineage: Eukaryota; Viridiplantae; Streptophyta; Magnoliopsida; Proteales; Proteaceae.
GUUUUAAAAUUCCUGAUGAGAGGUCCAGGAGGUCACACACCCCUCUCAAACUCUAUUGUUUGACCUGUGAGAGACGAGAGGAUUCGUGAUCACUAGGGUGUCAAAUUGACUGAACCAAAAGACCGUUCAAACAGAACAGAUACCAACCAGAACGAUCUACUUGUUGGGUCACUGUUUUGAUUUAGAAAAAAAAACUGCAGCUAUGGUUCAGUUUCGGUUUGGAUCAAUUGGAUCAAUAAGAAUUGUAAGGGCACACCAUUUGCUGGCUUCUGUUUUUUUUUUUUGCUAAUUUACAACCCCAUUCCUUAAAGAAUGCCACAAUUAUAAGAAUAUUCCUUUUGUUUCAUCAAAUUAUAUUCAGACCCUCUAUCGUCAGUUACUAUUAAAUAAAGAAUUAAAAUGAUUGUUAUACCCUUGUCAAAUCUUCGUCUUUAUGAACUUCCAGAAUUCAAAGAAAUUCCGAAAUCUCAUCACGCAGAUGGGAAGAGGUUGUAGACACUCGGCUGAUUUCAGAUUUCAAUUGGUUUUGACUUAUAUUGGUUAUAAAAAGGACGAACGAGGCUACAGAGCUCCUCUCUAAAGCGGCACGUCUUGCCUAUUUUCAUGGCAAGGUCAGCAUCGAAGAAGCGGUGUCGGCGUUGGAAUCUUCGUCGACAUCGCUUGCCCCAUAUGGAUGAUCUGAUGAACUGGGUCCAUACUAGAUCCAUCUGGCAUAUGACCUUCAACCUUGCUUGCUAUGCGGUCGAGAUGAUGCACACCGGUGCUGCCCGCUGCGAUUUCGAUCGAUUUGGAAUUAUUUUAGACCGAUUGUAUGAUUGUUGCUGGCACCCUUACCAAAAAGAUGGCUCAUGCGCUUCACAAAGUCUGAUCAAAUGCUGCGAGUUCUUGUUAGUCGCCGUCCGUCAUCGCUGUCGCCAUGAUCUCCGGUGAAUUAAAUGAUUGCCGGUGGUAGAAAUAGUAACUUAUUACAUGGGUAUUUUAAGUAUUUUAUAUUUAGUAAGGGUAUUUUGGUAUU